UUUUAGGAGAUAUUUCAUACACAUAACCACCAACAUGUAUCAAGUAUUAUUGCACCAAAAUAACAUAAAAAAUUCGAAAUUAACAUGAAGGCUUCAACAAGACAAAAAUCGGACAGCAUACACUUUCCUUCCUCUAGCUUUCUUUCCAACUUUUUCAACUCAAACUAUACCAUAUCUCAUCAAAGCAAGUAACAAACAAGCAAAUAAACACACAAAAUUCUCAAGGCCUCUACCUAUCAAGCCACCUCAAGUCCACUACCUAGUGUCAAGGUUCAUAGAACCCAUCAACAACCCAACUUAACUAGUUACAACUAACUAAAAACUAAUCAUAAG
Molecule: long non-coding RNA, 333 nt
Filed under: Coffea arabica (coffee)
Lineage: Eukaryota; Viridiplantae; Streptophyta; Magnoliopsida; Gentianales; Rubiaceae
Description: long non-coding RNA (CARA_LNC007764)
Source: RNAcentral